UUUUAGAUAAAUUCUGCUCAAUGAGUAAAUUAAAUAGCUGCAGUAAAUUAACUGUACUAAGGUAGCAUAAUAAGUUGCUUUAUAAUUAAAAGCUUGAAUGAAAGAAAUAAUGUGAAACAAGCUUUUUAAACUAAAGUAGUAAAAAUUAAUAUUUAAGUGAAAAAUCUUAAAUAAAAUCAAAAGACAAGAAGACCCUUUAGAACUUUACAAAUUAACUUAAUUUCAUUUGGUUAAUUUGUUAGAUUGGGGAGAUUUUUAAAUAAAUAAAUCUUUAGAUAUAAAAAAAUGAUUUAAAUCAAAUUAAAUUAUCCAAAUAUGAAAUAAAACAAGUUACCUAAGGGAUAACAGCGCAAAAUUUUUGAGAAGUUCUCAUUUACAAAAUAAAUUGCGACCUCGAUGUUGGAUUAAGAA
This 411-nucleotide ribosomal RNA is filed under the name Bemisia tabaci. RNAcentral's name for it is "partial 16S ribosomal RNA". Lineage: Eukaryota; Metazoa; Arthropoda; Insecta; Hemiptera; Aleyrodidae. The record is from RNAcentral.